RNAcentral lists this small RNA (29 nucleotides) under Bombyx mori (domestic silkworm). RNAcentral describes it as "ovarian small RNA-13580". The record is from RNAcentral. Lineage: Eukaryota; Metazoa; Arthropoda; Insecta; Lepidoptera; Bombycidae.
CCAUACUGCGCACGACCCCCAGGUACAGA